Molecule: ribosomal RNA, 570 nt
Filed under: Candida pseudoviswanathii
Lineage: Eukaryota; Fungi; Ascomycota; Pichiomycetes; Serinales; Debaryomycetaceae
Description: partial 26S ribosomal RNA
Rfam family: Eukaryotic large subunit ribosomal RNA
Source: RNAcentral
AAACCAACAGGGAUUGCCUUAGUAGCGGCGAGUGAAGCGGCAAAAGCUCAAAUUUGAAAUCUGGCUCUUUCAGAGUCCGAGUUGUAAUUUGAAGAAGGUAUCUUUGGGCCUGGCUCUUGUCUAUGUUUCUUGGAACAGAACGUCACAGAGGGUGAGAAUCCCGUGCGAUGAGAUGACCCAGGUCCGUGUAAAGUUCCUUCGACGAGUCGAGUUGUUUGGGAAUGCAGCUCUAAGUGGGUGGUAAAUUCCAUCUAAAGCUAAAUAUUGGCGAGAGACCGAUAGCGAACAAGUACAGUGAUGGAAAGAUGAAAAGAACUUUGAAAAGAGAGUGAAAAAGUACGUGAAAUUGUUGAAAGGGAAGGGCUUGAGAUCAGACUUGGCAUUUUGCAUGUUGCUUCUUCGGGGGCGGCCUCUGCGGUUUGUCGGGCCAGCAUCAGUUUGGGCGGUAGGACAAUCGCGCGGGAACGUGGCACGGCCUCGGUUGUGUGUUAUAGCCCGUGUGGAUACUGCCAGCCUAGACUGAGGACUGCGGUUUAUACCUAGGAUGUUGGCAUAAUGAUCUUAAGUCGC